This 447-nucleotide ribosomal RNA is filed under the name uncultured bacterium. RNAcentral's name for it is "bacterial SSU rRNA". It matches the Rfam family "Bacterial small subunit ribosomal RNA", at positions 329 to 793 of the family's 1533-position model. The record is from RNAcentral.
GACCAGACUCCUACGGGAGGCAGCAGUGGGGAAUAUUGCACAAUGGGGGAAACCCUGAUGCAGCGACGCCGCGUGAGCGAUGAAGUAUUUCGGUAUGUAAAGCUCUAUCAGCAGGGAAGAAAAUGACGGUACCUGACUAAGAAGCCCCGGCUAACUACGUGCCAGCAGCCGCGGUAAUACGUAGGGGGCAAGCGUUAUCCGGAUUUACUGGGUGUAAAGGGAGCGUAGACGGCUGUGCAAGCCAGAUGUGAAAGCCCGGGGCUCAACCCCGGGACUGCAUUUGGAACUGUGUGGCUGGAGUGUCGGAGAGGCAGGCGGAAUUCCUAGUGUAGCGGUGAAAUGCGUAGAUAUUAGGAGGAACACCAGUGGCGAAGGCGGCCUGCUGGACGAUGACUGACGUUGAGGCUCGAAAGCGUGGGGAGCAAACAGGAUUAGAUACCCCUGUAC